AGUGAACGCUGGCGGUAGGCCUAACACAUGCAAGUCGAACGGCAGCACAGUAAGAGCUUGCUCUUACGGGUGGCGAGUGGCGGACGGGUGAGGAAUACAUCGGAAUCUACUUUUUCGUGGGGGAUAACGUAGGGAAACUUACGCUAAUACCGCAUACGACCUACGGGUGAAAGCAGGGGAUCUUCGGACCUUGCGCGAUUGAAUGAGCCGAUGUCGGAUUAGCUAGUUGGCGGGGUAAAGGCCCACCAAGGCGACGAUCCGUAGCUGGUCUGAGAGGAUGACAAGCCACACUGGAAGGGAGCCCCGGCCCAGACCCCGCGGGGAGGAACGAGUGGGAAAUAUGGGACAAGGGCCGAAAGCCUGACCCAGCCAUACCGGGGGGGGAAAAAAGGCCUUGGGGUGGCAAAGCCUUUUUGUGGGGAAAAAAAAGCAGAAGUUUAAUCCCCCGUUUUUCUGAGGGUCCCAAAAGAAUAAGCACCGGCUAACUUGGUG
This 492-nucleotide ribosomal RNA is filed under the name uncultured bacterium. Its description in RNAcentral is "partial 16S ribosomal RNA". It matches the Rfam family "Bacterial small subunit ribosomal RNA", at positions 29 to 507 of the family's 1533-position model. The record is from RNAcentral.